GCGCGGUGAUGACCCCAACAUGCCAUCUGAGUUGCAUUGCUGAAAUCCAGAGGCUGUUUCUGAGCUG
This 67-nucleotide small nucleolar RNA is filed under the name Nannospalax galili (Upper Galilee mountains blind mole rat). Its description in RNAcentral is "Small nucleolar RNA SNORD95 (ENSNGAG00000006353.1)". It matches the Rfam family "Small nucleolar RNA SNORD95". Rfam says of the family: snoRNA U95 (also referred to as Z38 ) is a member of the C/D class of snoRNA which contain the C (UGAUGA) and D (CUGA) box motifs. This family is predicted to target two neighbouring 2'-O-methylations, Cm2801 and Am2792, in 28S rRNA. Lineage: Eukaryota; Metazoa; Chordata; Mammalia; Rodentia; Spalacidae. The record is from RNAcentral.